CCUACGGGAGGCAGCAGUGGGGAAUAUUGCACAAUGGGCGCAAGCCUGAUGCAGCAACGCCGCGUGAGGGACGACGGCCUUCGGGUUGUAAACCUCUUUUAGCAGGGAAGAAGCGCAAGUGACGGUACCUGCAGAAGAAGCACCGGCUAACUACGUGCCAGCAGCCGCGGUAAU
This 174-nucleotide ribosomal RNA is filed under the name uncultured Microcella sp. RNAcentral's name for it is "partial 16S ribosomal RNA". It matches the Rfam family "Bacterial small subunit ribosomal RNA", at positions 338 to 524 of the family's 1533-position model. The record is from RNAcentral. Lineage: Bacteria; Bacillati; Actinomycetota; Actinomycetes; Micrococcales; Microbacteriaceae.